AUAUAGCACUCGUACACGGCGGUUCUGAGCGCGCCGCCCGCACCCGCCGGACGACUGCUCACUACGUUUUUAGCC
This 75-nucleotide small RNA is filed under the name Xanthomonas campestris pv. euphorbiae. RNAcentral's name for it is "sX9 sRNA". It matches the Rfam family "Xanthomonas sRNA sX9". The record is from RNAcentral. Lineage: Bacteria; Pseudomonadati; Pseudomonadota; Gammaproteobacteria; Lysobacterales; Lysobacteraceae.